RNAcentral lists this unclassified non-coding RNA (211 nucleotides) under Hevea brasiliensis (rubber tree). The record is from RNAcentral. Lineage: Eukaryota; Viridiplantae; Streptophyta; Magnoliopsida; Malpighiales; Euphorbiaceae.
GCCCGCCCUAACCAAUUGAUCAGCUUCCUUACAAUGUGCUGUCCAAUAAUCGCCGCAAAAAAGGCCACAACGGUGAAGAAAAGAGCAUAUGGCACAGGGAACCGGUCCAAGAGGUAGUAUUCAACAACAGACAUGGAAGAUGAGAACAUCAUUGCAAAGGUGGCUGUGGCACUUGAGACCUGUGGAGGGAUUCCAAGCUCCAAGAACAGAG